This is a long non-coding RNA of Stegostoma tigrinum, 4691 nucleotides long. RefSeq lists it as uncharacterized. Lineage: Eukaryota; Metazoa; Chordata; Chondrichthyes; Orectolobiformes; Stegostomatidae. The transcript is spliced from 6 exons. The record is from RefSeq and is a predicted model, not a curated record.
GUUCUCGUCUCUGUUUCUCUUUCUCUCUCUCUCACUUUUUUUUGCCCAGAGUGUGCUCAGCUCCUCUGACGAUUCCAGUUUGGUCUCUCUUUCUCUCUUUGCCCCCACCUCACUUGGAAGAACAAACGCACACUGCCGAGAGCCCGGUGCCGCGGACACUAACCCCACACACACAUACACGCACAAAAUCUCGUCUUAUCGAUGCAAGUGGGAGGAGGGACCGAGAGAGAGCGAAAAAAAAAUCAAUUCACACUAUCCAGCCAGAUGUUACGGGCAUGAAUACCGUUACGCGUCCAACGCGAAUGGCUUCACUUGGAAGUAGAUUUUUCUUCCUCUCGCCAAUUUAUUUUUGCUCCACUCCACUCUGGUGUCGAGCUGCUUUUUGCCGAGAUAUAUCACUCAAAUCCCGGAUACAAUCAACUGAAUGUCUGGAAAAGGGGACCAUAUCAGCAGAUCUGGAAUUUUUAUUUUAAUAUGAGAGUCAUACAGACGGCCAUGGACGAUUCCGAUUGCAGAAUGCAAAACCUGCCAGCUGUAGAACGGCGAGAUGAAAUUUGAUAUCCAAACUGCGUCUUGUAGGAUGUGCAGAUUUCUGAGAUGGCAUUAAAAUAUGUUUUAAAGGUUUCUGAUGAAAUUUUGUUUCUGAAGAAACUGACGACUGGACACCAAAGUAACUGAUGAGAGCAUCGCUGGCUAAGCAGCAAUUAUUGCCCAUCCCUAAUUGCCCAGAAGGCAGUUAAGAGUCAACCACAUUGCUUCUGGUCUGGAGUCACUUAAGCCAGAACAGCAGGUGAUGGAGAACAUUUUAUAGGUCUACUGGAAGUAGCUAUUUAUCUGGGUGACGUGCUAACAACCAGGAACACCAAUAAAAAGCAUUUGGAGAAUUUGAACACGGUGCUGAAACAUUUGUCCAAGGACCGUCACCCACAAAGCUACAGAGACAGUUCUGACCGAGUUGCUAAUGUGGAAAAGACUGUGUGCACUAGGUUGAACCUGAUUUUCCUGGACCUGGCGAGUCGGGGAGAGUGAAAUGGUACCAGGACUGCCAAUGCCAGAUACAAGACACUGCUGAACGAGAGGGACAGUUUGCUUCAGGGGACAAAGUUUGGUGUCAAAAUCAGGGGAAUAGCCCUACACUGGUAAGACGCAUGGUUUACGUGAGGUCAGGUCCCGUGACCUACAAGGUUUGGGUAGAUGAAGCAGCCCUGAACAAGCAAUAGGACCACAUGAAACCUGCUACCUUGCAAAUGGGGUAGGAACAUAACAUAUCAAGUCCCUCAGAGCCCGUGGGUUCUCCCCUUCCACCUAGUGUCAAAGAAACCUCUGAGGACAAGAUGGACACAGCAGAUGUUGCAGCCUCGAUGAUGUCACCCCCUAGAGAAGAUGAGUUUCGGCUGAGACACUCCGGGCUCAGGAGGCGGGCUACACUUGGAUAAACAACAUUAGCAGCAAAGGCAGAGUUGGAGGAACUGGGCCUGGGUGUGAAAACACCCCAGGUGGAGUGACAGGACAAAGAAUGGGUCUACGUCUAAGGAGUUAUAGGGGAAGGGUAGUAAUUGGAAUGAGGUCAGCCAGGUGGAUAUCAUAGAAUAUGAGUUCCCAAUUGGGACUGUUAACCUGUGCCAAUCAGGGAACCCUGGCUGACAGGUACAAACAGGAGUAUCCAAGGUUCUGCUCAUUCGAGGAGCUGCCUCUGAUCUAGCUGGGUCAGAGUCAUGUACUAUACAUGUAUAAUUAAAGGGUGACUUGAUAAUGGGAUACCAGUCUUCAUGGAGCUAUUUCAACUGUGCCAUCUGGUAGAGGUGGUAACAAGAAGCUAAGCAUCUUCUUAAUGAUCCAAAGUGGAAGAAAGAGUCACCCAGAGGCACUGGAACAGAUUUUAUGACAGACGUUUCUUAUUUGUGGAACAGCAGUAAAUUUAAAAAUAUGUCCUAUGGAGUGCAAAUUCGUUUUUCAAUAUAGCAAAGAGGUUAGAUAUCACUCUGACUGAGAUACUGCUGACUCUGAGCGAGAAAUAAUUAAGACUUCUCAAAGUUGUGAAAACAGAAUUUCAUUAUUUCUAUCUUAAACCAUAUCAAUUUCUAUCCUUUCUAAUAGAAUAUAAACACAUCUAAAAUGCUGCAAUAUAAUUAUUUUCUUUUAUAACACAAAAUGGGAACUAUAAUCUUAAACUAACAACACAUUCUUUAAUUAAGAGACAACUUGAGAGAAAUUUUGAGCUGGCACGUUUAGUGUGUUUGUGAGCAUGCAACAGGUUUAAAAAUGCAAACAUUUCUGUAAUAUCAGUGAGUUGGUUGGAAGUUGUUGACUUCCAAUUCAACCUGAGCACAAUCUGCAGCAAAGUUUAGAUUUCAUUGAAAGUACUGUUGUCAUAACAAGGGCACAACAGUAGUCCAUGAUAUACCUAAGGCUGUGCACGUUGACACAGGAAGUUGUGAUUCAGAUAGCUGGGCAAAUCAAGGGGUACUUGCCUUCCAGCCACGCUGGCAGUCUCCAUGAUUGCAUUGUCAGCAGUGUACCAAAUAAUGAGCCUAUCGAAAGAGGAUUACAGCUAAGCAAAGAGCUUAUCCAUAGCUCAGGACAACGCUGAUAAUCCUGAGACUAUUACCAAAGAAACACUGUGGUGUAACUAUGUUAUUCAAUAUCCUUUUAUUGCUGAGUUUUUUUUUUACCUGAGGCACUAUUUUCACAAACUGACUUCUCCAUUGCUCCCAAACAGUGGUCCAAAUGCACCAUCUCAAUUUAGUUUGAUGCACUAUCUCGAUGAGUGUGGAAGUCCAUCUUUUGUAUUUUUAUAUAUCCGAUAUUGUGCCAGUUGGAAACAGGAACUAUGAACAAAAUGAUAAUAAAAUCAUAGGUAUCUAGAUUGGUGCUGUACAAGUUUUCAGUAUCUCUGUCCUCAGCCUUUUGCAAUUUGAUGCUUCCUGUUGUUGACAGUGUUGAUUUUGUGUGUCGUACAUACUAACAUCGCUUUCUGUGCAGCAAAUUCCCAUGGAAGGAAUAAGUGUAGAGGCUGGCUGCUGGUUGCUAAUGACAGCCUUCUGGGAAUUAAAGUAAUAAAGAUCUAAUGGAAGCCAUUGGGGAUAUAGGAAAGGUGGAUAGCACUUCGAAUUUUAAGAAAAAUGCUGCAGAGAAAACAGUCAAUGGAACUGGAUUGACCUUUAAAAAGCUUCGGAUAGCUAGAAUCAUUGACUGAAAUGUAAUUAGAAUUAGCAUCCUUUACUGAAGGCAAAUUCAGUGGGAUUCAUUUAAUAAAGCUGUUAAGAAAGACAGGAAUUGUUUAUGAAGGCAACAAUUACAUAGAUUCAGUUAGAGUCAGUCAUUACCAAUUAUGAGAAAACUAUAAAGCUCCAUUUAACUCCUAGAAUGCAGGAAUUCUCCAUUUCAUCUGCAGAGGAUGUGAACCCCCCAUUUUGACAAAACAGCAAGAAUCCUGUAUGCAAGAAUAAGUCCUUUGAAGGCAUAGCAAGUAAAUAAUCACAUUAGAAAGAUAUGAUUGAUAUCAGAAAUAAUACUGCCAGGGUAAUUUAAUUUCAGGAAUUGACCAAAUAAAAUAGAAUUGGACAUGGAACCUAGCAUUCAGUCCCUCCAGGCUGCUCCGCCAUUCUAUGAGAUCAUGGCUGAUCUCUAGCCUAACUCCAUAUAUCUGCCUUAGGCUCAUGUGUUUUGAUAUCCUGCUUAAUAAAAUUUUGUCUGCCUCACAUUUAAAUUUAACAAUUGAAUUAACGUCAACUGCUGUUUGAGGAAGAGAUUUGUAAACCUUUGCUGCUCUGCAUGUCGAAGUGCUUUCUAACAUCUCUUCUGGUCAUAACCCUUCGACAAUGUCCUCUGCUUUUACAACCUUCAACCUGUAGUAAUGGUUUAUCUUUAUUGACUCUAUCUUUCCCUUUAAAAUCCUGAAGAUCUCAAUUAGAUCACCCUUUAAGCUUCUAAAUUCUCGGGGAAAAAAGACCCUUAUUUGUCUAAUCUUUCCUCAUAUAUUAAUUCCUGAAUUCAGUCAUCAUCCUUGUAAACCAGCGUCGUACUCCCUCCAAGGCCAAAACCUCAUUCCUCUGGUGUGGCACCCAGAUCUACUGAUAGUAGUCCAAGUGGCGUCUAACUUGUUCUAACUGUAUAAAUGCAACAUAACAUCUGCAUCCUUAUCCUCCAGCUCCUUAGAACUGUAAAGUCUCUUCUGAUCAUCUUUAAUGUCCCAUGCAAGUUUCCUUUCAUAAUCCUUUUUAGCCAUUCUUUUAAACUGCAUGGUGGUCCUUUAUUGAUGUUUUUUUGUAUUUGUCCCAUUCUGGGUCAUCCGUACUAUCCUUUGCAUCUUUAUAAGCCCAAUCUUCUAAUCUUUUAUGCUGUCCCUUAUGUCCCUAGAUUUACAUAUUUUUAUUGUGAGGUGGAUUGUUUCCUUCGCAUGGGUACAAACUGCUUCUGAGUAGAAUUAAAUGUUUCUUUGAAUACCAUCCAUUUCCCAAUUUACUGUUGUCACCCUUUGCCUCAUUGCAUUAAGAAUCUGCCUUAUUUCGAUACAAACUUCUAGUAUCUGAUCUUUGCUUAUUUCUUAAAAACACAACAUGAAACAACUAUUUGACAAAUGCUCAUGAACAACUAGGUCACGAAUUAAAUCAAGCUUAUUACUCAUUACUAGAUCCGAUAUUGCUUGCUCAUAUUGUUUGUUCCGUGACAUUUUGCCCCAGGAAACUGUU